GCCGUGGUGACCUUCCUGUGGGAGGCCCUUUCCACACACUAGCUGUGGGUCCCAGAGUUGGAAGUCAGUCCUACAGGUAGACUCUUACCCAGUCCUCUCCAGACGUGGGGAGGGAGCUGCGGACACGCGCUGUGGAGCCAGACACGACCUUGGACCUUUGGCCUAGCUGCUGUGGUCUUUCAUAAUAGAGGCCUGCAGAGGAGAACAAGGAGGACAGAGGACAGGGAGGACAGACGGCAGCCUGUGAGCGGGGCCCGGGGUCCUCCUGCACUCCUGUUGCUCUUGACGGAGAGAAAGCCACUUCUAAAAGGAUUGUCCCCAGAGGUGUUGACCACGUGUGGACUGCCUCCCUGACCUGUCCUCUGUGUCGGGGAACCACUGGUGGGCUAGAGUCCUGGGGACCUGAGGGAUCGAGGCCACCACCUACCAGUUCCCAAUGACAGGUCCCGAGACUGACUCCCUUGGUGGCUCCUGUGACUUUGGUCCAACCGGAGGAGCUCUGGCAACCUUGCUCAUGGACAAGCCCCAGGUG
This 532-nucleotide long non-coding RNA is filed under the name Marmota monax (woodchuck). The record is from RNAcentral. Lineage: Eukaryota; Metazoa; Chordata; Mammalia; Rodentia; Sciuridae.